GGAUCAUUAUCGAAAGAAUAAAUCAAAGCAGAAGGGGGGAGAGAGGAAAGAUUGUCGCUGGCUUCUUCUUGAGCAUUCGUGCACGUCAUCUUCUCUCAUUCGUCUGCUUGUGGUUUUUCCUUUUUCACCACACCUGUGCACUCAUUGUAGGGGUUAGCCUCUCAAAAUACAGAGAGAGAGAUCCCUAUGUACUAUUCUCAUCAUUCGCUCUCGCGUUCUAGUAUGUCACGAAUGAAAAACAUAUAUUUAUACAACUUUCAGCAAUGGAUCUCUUGGCUCUCGCAUCGAUGAAGAACGCAGCGAACUGCGAUAAGUAAUGUGAAUUGCAGAUUUUCAGUGAAUCAUCGAAUCUUUGAACGCACCUUGCGCUCCUUGGUAUUCCGAGGAGCAUGCCUGUUUGAGUGUCAUCGAAUUCUCAACCAUGCCUUCGAUUGACUUCGAGGUGCAUCGGCUUGGAGUUUGGGAGUUGCUGGUCUUUUCUUUAGCCCCUCAGGGGUGUGUGGGAUGGGUCAGCUCUCCUGAAAUAUAUUAGCGGAUCGCAAGUGCGAGACCACACGUGUCUUCGAGGUGCACGGCCUUUCUGACGUGAUAAAUCUUUCAUCGUCGUGGGCUGGAGCUUCGAAUCUCGCGUGCGCGUGUGCGCGUUCGCUUCCAAUUCGUGUUUCAUGACGAAACCGGGUCGCUCGAGAGAGUGGUCUGUCUUCCUCAUGUUUCCUUGAACGCUCGACCUCAAAUCAGGUAGGACUACCCGCUGAACUUAAGCAUAUCAAUAAGCGGAGGAAAAGAAACUAACAAGGAUUCCCCUAGUAACUGCGAGUGAAGCGGGAAGAGCUCAAAUUUUGAAUCUGGCGGUCUCGGCCGUCCGAGUUGUAAUCUAGAGAAGCGUUUUCCAGCACCGCGCCGUGUACAAGUCUCCUGGAAGGGAGCAUCAUAGAGGGUGAGAAUCCCGUCUUUGACACGGAAACUUGCGGCGCGCUGUGAUGUGCUCUCGACGAGUCGAGUUGUUUGGGAAUGCAGCUCAAAAUGGGUGGUAAAUUCCAUCUAAAGCUAAAUACGGGCGAGAGACCGAUAGCGAACAAGUACCGUGAGGGAAAGAUGAAAAGAACUUUGAAAAGAGAGUUAAACAGUACGUGAAAUUGCUGAAAGGGAAACGCUCGAUGUCAGUCGCGUCGGUCAGGGAUCAACCUUGCUUUUUUUUCGCUGGGCGUAUUUCCUGGUCGACGGGUCAGCAUCAGUUUCGGUUCGCCGUACAAAGGCGAGAGUGAAUGUGCCACGCCUCGGCGUGCGUUAUAGCCUCUCGUCGGAUGCGGCGGUCGGGACUGAGGAACUCGGUGGCGCAUCCGCGUGGUGCAUCGCU
RNAcentral lists this ribosomal RNA (1357 nucleotides) under Tylopilus sp. 1C6. RNAcentral's name for it is "eukaryotic LSU rRNA". The stretch from base 725 to 1357 matches the Rfam family "Eukaryotic large subunit ribosomal RNA", at positions 1 to 627 of the family's 3401-position model. Lineage: Eukaryota; Fungi; Basidiomycota; Agaricomycetes; Boletales; Boletaceae. The record is from RNAcentral.